This 423-nucleotide ribosomal RNA is filed under the name uncultured archaeon. Its description in RNAcentral is "partial 16S ribosomal RNA". It matches the Rfam family "Archaeal small subunit ribosomal RNA", at positions 323 to 746 of the family's 1478-position model. The record is from RNAcentral.
CUACGGGCCGCUCCAGGCGCGAAACCUUUACAAUGCACGCAAGUGUGAUAAGGGAAUCCUAAGUGCUUUGCUUUUAGUAAGGCUUUUGUUAAGAGUAAAAAUCUUAGCGAAUAAAUGGUGGGUAAGACUGGUGCCAGCAGCCGCGGUAACACCAGCGCCAUAAGUGGCAAUCAUAUUUAUUGGGCCUAAAGCGUCCGUAGCCUGUUUGAGCAGUCUUUUGUGAAAUCGUUAUGCUCAACAUAACGGUGUGCACAAGAUACCAUCAAACUCGGAACCGGAGAGGAGUCGGAGGUAUUCUAAGGGGAGCGGUAAAAUGCUAUAAUCCUUGGAGGACCACCUGUGGCGAAAGCGUCCGACUAGAACGGCUUCGACGGUGAGGGACGAAAGUCAGGGGAGCGAACCGGAUUAGAUACCCGGGUAGUC